RNAcentral lists this microRNA (20 nucleotides) under Echinococcus granulosus. RNAcentral describes it as "egr-miR-10285-5p". The record is from miRBase by way of RNAcentral. Lineage: Eukaryota; Metazoa; Platyhelminthes; Cestoda; Cyclophyllidea; Taeniidae.
AAAUGGACCACAAAGAACGC